Molecule: ribosomal RNA, 429 nt
Filed under: Actinomycetes bacterium
Lineage: Bacteria; Bacillati; Actinomycetota; Actinomycetes
Description: Actinobacteria bacterium partial 16S ribosomal RNA
Rfam family: Bacterial small subunit ribosomal RNA
Source: RNAcentral
UAGGGAAUCUUCCGCAAUGGGCGAAAGCUUGACGGAGCAACGCCGCGUGAGUGAUGAAGGUCUUCGGAUCGUAAAACUCUGUUAUUAGGGAAGAACAAAUGUGUAAGUAACUAUGCACGUCUUGACGGUACCUAAUCAGAAAGCCACGGCUAACUACGUGCCAGCAGCCGCGGUAAUACGUAGGUGGCAAGCGUUAUCCGGAAUUAUUGGGCGUAAAGCGCGCGUAGGCGGUUUUUUAAGUCUGAUGUGAAAGCCCACGGCUCAACCGUGGAGGGUCAUUGGAAACUGGAAAACUUGAGUGCAGAAGAGGAAAGUGGAAUUCCAUGUGUAGCGGUGAAAUGCGCAGAGAUAUGGAGGAACACCAGUGGCGAAGGCGGCUCACUGGACCAUUACUGACGCUGAGGUGCGAAAGCGUGGGGAGCAAACAGG